AGCAGCCGCGGUAAUUCCAGCUCCAAUAGCGUAUAUUAAAGUUGUUGCAGUUAAAAAGCUCGUAGUUGAAUUUCGGGGUCAGUAGGUUGGUCAUGCCACUGGUAUGUACUGGUCUCACUGAUUCCUCCUUCCUGAUGAACUGUAAUGCCAUUAAUUUGGUGUUGCAGGGAAUCUGGACUGUUACUUUGAAAAAUUAGAGUGUUUAAAGCAGGCUAACGCCUGAAUACAUUAGCAUGGAAUAAUGAAAUAGGACGUUCGAUCCUAUUUUGUUGGUUUCUAGGAUUGACGUAAUGAUUAAUAGGGAUAGUUGGGGGCAUUAGUAUUCAAUUGUCAGAGGUGAAAUUCUUGGAUUUAUUGAAGACUAACUACUGCGAAAGCAUUUGCCAAGGAUGUUUUCAUUAAUCAAGAACGAAAGUUAGGGGAUCGAAGACGAUCAGAUACCAUCGUAGU
Molecule: ribosomal RNA, 450 nt
Filed under: uncultured Glomus
Lineage: Eukaryota; Fungi; Glomeromycota; Glomeromycetes; Glomerales; Glomeraceae
Description: SSU rRNA
Rfam family: Eukaryotic small subunit ribosomal RNA
Source: RNAcentral